UACGAAGGGUGCUAGCGUUGUUCGGAAUCACUGGGCGUAAAGCGCGCGCAGGCGGCUUUGCAAGUCAGGGGUGAAAUCCUUGGGCUUAACCCAAGAAUUGCCUUUGAAACUGCAUGGCUGGAGUGUCGGAGGGGAUAGCGGAAUUCCUAAUGUAGUGGUGAAAUACGUAGAUAUUAGGAGGAACACCGGUGGCGAAGGCGGCUAUCUGGACGACAACGGACGCUGAGGCGCGAAAGCGGGGGAGCAAACAGG
This 252-nucleotide ribosomal RNA is filed under the name uncultured bacterium. RNAcentral's name for it is "partial 16S ribosomal RNA". It matches the Rfam family "Bacterial small subunit ribosomal RNA", at positions 524 to 776 of the family's 1533-position model. The record is from RNAcentral.